CAAUAGCGUAUAUUAAAGUUGUUGCGGUUAAAAAGCUCGUAGUUGGAGUUCUGCCAGGUGCCGUCUGUCCGCCCCAGUGGUGAGUACGUGACGCGCAUUUGGCCCUUUCAAGGGGAGCGUAUCUGCACUUUACUGUGUGGUGCGGGAUCCUUGACUUUUACUUUGAGGAAAUAGGAGUGUUCCAAGCAGGCUCUCGUCGUGCACAGCUCAGCAUGGAAUAAUAGCAUUGGACCUCGAUUCUAAGCUGUUGGUUGCCAGAAGCGAGGUAAUGAUGAAGAGGGAUAGUUGGGGGCAUUCGUAUUUAACUGUCAGAGGUGAAAUUCUUGGAUUUGCUAAAGACGGACUACUGCGAAAGCAUCUGCCAUGGAUGUUUUCAUUGA
This 380-nucleotide ribosomal RNA is filed under the name uncultured eukaryote. RNAcentral's name for it is "partial 18S ribosomal RNA". It matches the Rfam family "Eukaryotic small subunit ribosomal RNA", at positions 592 to 976 of the family's 1831-position model. The record is from RNAcentral.